Molecule: ribosomal RNA, 1245 nt
Filed under: Candidatus Giovannonibacteria bacterium GW2011_GWB1_46_20
Lineage: Bacteria; Candidatus Giovannoniibacteriota
Description: bacterial SSU rRNA
Rfam family: Bacterial small subunit ribosomal RNA (bases 651-1153)
Source: RNAcentral
AAAAUGGAACGUACGGAAAGCAUUGAGAAUAGAUUCUCAAUAUAUUUUCAAGCUUGGGAUUCCAUACUCAAAGCGCUAAAGCCGCAAAAGGAACCAAAAGGCGGCUAUGUACGCAGUUCAGAAUACGAUCAUUGGUAAAGUUUUUAUUGAAGAAUCCUCAGAGACUAUACGUUGAACACAAGUUAAAUAAAUGGGCGAACGAGUUAAAACUUUAGUAGCCCAAGUAUUUUUCUUAUGAUGAUAUAGUCCGAACUCGCCAGCGAUGGCGAGAGACCGGCAGAAAUGUCCGGUCCAACUCAAGAACCCGCCAAAAGCUAACGCAUUUAGGCGGGCAAGUCGGUGCUAAUUUUUGGAAAAAAAAGAGGUUAUUUGUUUGACCUCUGAUUGAGAUAUGUCUUUAGCCAGAAUUUCCAGUUGAUCAUGACAUAGAAAACCAAUACGACAAGGAUGGCCUUACCUACUAUAAUGGGAAAUUCAUACAUAUAUUGUCCUCCUUCUGAUUAAAGUCUAGCAUAGAGACAUAUUUUUAUCAAGCUCUAAUCUUGACCCCGCAAAAAAGAGCGGGGCAGGCUCCAAAAAUUAGCACCGAUUAUCAAAUCUUGAGCACUUGGGUGUCCGACACCCAAGUUAGUAACAAAAUGUAGAUACCUGGGAAGUACGAACGCAAGUUUAAAACUCAAAGGAAUAGACGGGGACUCGCACAAGCGGUGGAGCAUGUGGUUCAAUUCGAUGGUAAACGAAAAACCUCACCAGGGCUUGAAAUUCCGACGAUAAGUCCCGUGAAAGCGGGAUGUCUCACAAGGACGUCGGAACAGGUGCUGCAUGGCUGUCGUCAGUUCGUGGCUUGAGCUGUUCCCUUAAGUGGGGUAACGAACGCAACCCCUGCCCCGUGUUAUACGUGUCACGGGGGACUACUCUGAUUUUCGGAGGGGAAGGUGGGGAUGACGCCAAGUCAGCAUGGCCCUCUGAUGCCCUGGGCUACACACGUGCUACAAUGGGACGUACAAUGGGCCGCAAUACCGAGAGGUGGAGCUAAUCCCUUAAAACGUCCCCCAGUUCAGAUUGAGGUCUGCAACUCGACCUCAUGAAGACGGAAUCGCUAGUAAUCGCAGGUCAGCUAUACUGCGGUGAAUACGUUCUCGAGUCUUGUACUCACAAAUAAAUGCGCCCGGCAGCGCAUAGUUCUAAGUGGUUAAAAUCCACUCUUUAUCAUUCGUCGUGAUAAAUGUAGCAGAAAGAUAGGUC